This 982-nucleotide long non-coding RNA is filed under the name Homo sapiens (human). RNAcentral's name for it is "HSALNT0328716". Lineage: Eukaryota; Metazoa; Chordata; Mammalia; Primates; Hominidae. The record is from RNAcentral.
UUUACAGGUCCACAGCUGGAAGGAGCUUUCCUUGAUUCUCAAAUGAGACUUUGGACUUUGGACUUUUGAGUCGGUGCUGAAACAAGCCACGCUCUUCAUGCCUGUGUGUUUCCCGCACCCCUGGGAAGGCGAAGGGAAGGAGCUACAUUGUCAAGUGUGGUCCAGCAAGUAAGCAGGUCCUGAGCACCAAACAUAUCACAGGCACUCACUGCUUGGGCCCACCAGUCAACAGGAGCCUGCUAGAUACAGCCAUGUGCCACUCCAACCUCCCUGAGGGCAUGGCCUAUGCACUAUUUGAUUUUCAGCAUAUCAUCACGAACUCCACGGGCGUCAAGAAGCAAUGGGUGUGGAUGUAGAAGCAGCCCGGAUUGCAACUGUGGUGGUGUAUUCUUGAACUAUAUUGUUCUAUUGGUGGUUUCUAGCUUUCUUGCCUUUCUGACCAUGAUACGAGUAGCUCCCUUGAUGGGUUAGUUCUGAAGGUUCAGAGAGUCUCUCCUCAGGCCUACACAAGCUCACUACUGCUCACUUUAUGUGAUGUGGGCCUACACAAGCUCACUGCUGCUGUCUUUCUAACAUGUCUAUAUGUUCUUCAUUAACUCUAUUAGAUCACUUUCUGCUGAAAGAGAUCAGUGUGCUUUCUGUUUCCUGAACUCAACCUUGGGAAAAAUAAGCAUAAAAUAUGUAUACAACAAGUGAAGAACAUCAAAGCAGCCCUGAGAUGAAUUUUCUAGGUAGACCAUCAACUUCUUUGUCAUCAAAAGCCUCAAUUCAAGAGUGAUUCAAAUUAGUACUUUACUGAAAUUACUGAUCACUAUUUGUCACAUUACUUUAAGGCUGAUUAUGAAUAUUUGAAACUUCAUGUUAAGUGCCUCAAUACCAACAGACUACUGUACUUGUUUAAUUUAAAUUUGAAAGCUAUCAUAAUUUCAAUAAAGGAAACACAGUGUAAACAAUAAGGAGUAAGACAAGCAUAUUCAUAUAA